UUCACUUAUUUUUGUUGGAGUUGGUUUCU
Molecule: non-coding RNA, 29 nt
Filed under: Rattus norvegicus (Norway rat)
Lineage: Eukaryota; Metazoa; Chordata; Mammalia; Rodentia; Muridae
Source: RNAcentral